CUGCUAUGUUAAUAGCUUGCUAGACCCUGCAAGAGCCUCCUGUAUGUGAUUAAAGUUCAAUUUAGAGAUUGAGAUACAAUUAUUUAAGGUAAAUUACAUCUGUUUGAAAGUGAAACCAGUUUUUUUUUUUUCGUGCAGGCUCUGUUAAUCAUAGCCAGGGGAGGUGUGGCUAGGGCUGCAUAAACAGAAACAACGUGUGAUAUGAAUUUAAACCACAACAACGUGAUUUAACUCCUAAAUGACAGUGAAUUGAGCAGUGAAAUUGCAGGGGAAUAAUCUAUACACUAAAACUGCUUUAUUUAGCUAAAGUAAUUUAGGUGACUAUAGUGUUCCUUUAAACUCAGUAAUAAUUGUAACUGCUUUAUAUAACUAAGGGUGACACUUCAGGACUGAUUAUCUCAUUUAGUAAUUUUGAUUGAUAUUGGCUAAAUAUACUAUACGAUCAACUUUGUAAAUAGGAUCUGUACUGUUAUCUUACAGACAGAUUUGGGACUACUUUCCCUAUUUUAAAAUUGCUUGUCACACUUGUUUUAUUUUAUGCAUUAACAUAUUAAAAGUUAAGUUUUAUUAAUAGACAUAGUAAGACAAAAUUUUGAUAUUUUUUCCCCUAACCUCUGGUGACACCUACGGGUAGUUUUUUAUUACUACAAUUUUUAAUUUUUGUUUUAUUUCUAAUUCUUUUGCUGUUUAGAUAUAUAUAGAUAUUAGGGGUUACCCCCCAUUUUCUCCUACUACCACUAGAUUGCUCACCGUCCAAUUAAGGCUCGAUUAAAGCUUUUGUUCUGGGUAAUAGUUUCUUGAUCCAAGGAUACAUCUGACUGCCAUUGUGGGGGUCAAGAUGGAAUUUUUUACUAAUUUGUUGCAAAAUUGGAAGUGCUUCAACCUUUUUUUUAAAAUAAUUUUGUUGGCUUCUUUUGGAUGGACCAACAGCAAAAAAAAAACAGAGAUGAGAAAGGCUGAGCUUGAUGGACAUGUGCCUCUUUUCAGCCUAUAUAACUAUAUAACUAUAAAGGUGUUUGGAAGAUUUUGAUCUUAAAUUUGAAAUUCACUUUGAAUUCCCUCCAAUUCUCACUUUAAUGAAUAACUCUUUAUAUUCGCAAAUAUAUAUUUAUAAAUA
Pelobates cultripes (western spadefoot toad) is the source of this 1117-nucleotide non-coding RNA. Lineage: Eukaryota; Metazoa; Chordata; Amphibia; Anura; Pelobatidae. The record is from the annotation of a GenBank genome assembly.